RNAcentral lists this ribosomal RNA (487 nucleotides) under Elmidae environmental sample. RNAcentral's name for it is "SSU rRNA". It matches the Rfam family "Eukaryotic small subunit ribosomal RNA", at positions 265 to 756 of the family's 1831-position model. Lineage: Eukaryota; Metazoa; Arthropoda; Insecta; Coleoptera; Elmidae. The record is from RNAcentral.
CUGAUCGCAUGGUCUCGCACCGGCGACGCAUCUUUCAAAUGUCUGCCUUAUCAACUGUCGAUGGUAGGUUCUGCGCCUACCAUGGUUGUAACGGGUAACGGGGAAUCAGGGUUCGAUUCCGGAGAGGGAGCCUGAGAAACGGCUACCACAUCCAAGGAAGGCAGCAGGCGCGCAAAUUACCCACUCCCGGCACGGGGAGGUAGUGACGAAAAAUAACGAUACGGGACUCAUCCGAGGCCCCGUAAUCGGAAUGAGUACACUCUAAACCCUUUAACGAGGAUCAAUUGGAGGGCAAGUCUGGUGCCAGCAGCCGCGGUAAUUCCAGCUCCAAUAGCGUAUAUUAAAGUUGUUGCGGUUAAAAAGCUCGUAAUCCAAUCUGUGUCCCGCGCCGCCGGUUCAUCGCUCGCGGUGUUUAACUGGCGUGUCCCCGGGACGUCCUGCCGGUGGGCUUAGCCCCCCAAAGGGCGGCCCAACUUCAAAUCCCACC